CAGCAGUAGCCGCGGUAAUACGAAGGGUGCAAGCGUUACUCGGAAUUACUGGGCGUAAAGCGUGCGUAGGUGGUGGUUUAAGUCCGUUGUGAAAGCCCUGGGCUCAACCUGGGAAUUGCAGUGGAUACUGGGUCACUAGAGUGUGGUAGAGGAUAGUGGAAUUUCCGGUGUAGCAGUGAAAUGCGUAGAGAUCGGAAGGAACAUCUGUGGCGAAGGCGACUAUCUGGGCCAACACUGACACUGAGGCACGAAAGCGUGGGGAACAAACAGGAUUAGAUACCCCUGUAGUCCCUGUCUCUUAUAC
Molecule: ribosomal RNA, 304 nt
Filed under: uncultured bacterium
Lineage: Bacteria
Description: partial 16S ribosomal RNA
Rfam family: Bacterial small subunit ribosomal RNA
Source: RNAcentral